UCCACCGUGAGGUGGAAUCUGAAGGAAGCCAGCGGCAAAACUCUGGUCUGACGUACAGAAAUCACAUAUAAGGCUUACUUAAAUCGGGUGAGUUUGCUGAACAAAACAAAGCCCAAUGCUAUCCGAAGGUUUAAGAAGUAAAUGUGGCAGAUAGAUGGAGUGAAAGCGGUCGUU
Non-coding RNA from Clostridium sp. BL8, 174 nucleotides. The record is from Rfam. Lineage: Bacteria; Bacillati; Bacillota; Clostridia; Eubacteriales; Clostridiaceae.